RNAcentral lists this ribosomal RNA (253 nucleotides) under uncultured bacterium. RNAcentral describes it as "partial 16S ribosomal RNA". It matches the Rfam family "Bacterial small subunit ribosomal RNA", at positions 524 to 776 of the family's 1533-position model. The record is from RNAcentral.
UACGUAGGCAGCAAGCGUUGUUCGGAAUUACUGGGCGUAAAGAGUGUGUAGGCGGUGCUCUAAGUUCGGUGUGAAAUCUCCCGGCUUAACUGGGAGGGGCCGUGCGAAACUGCCGGGCUUGAGGUCAGAAGGGGAAAGUGGAAUUCCGGGUGUAGUGGUGGAAUACGUAGAUAUCCGGAGGAACACCAGCGGCGAAGGCGGCUUUCUGGUCUGAUACUGACGCUGAGGCGCGAAAGCGUGGGGAGCGAUCCGG